UAGUAGGUAUAAGUAACGAUAAAGGGGGCGGGAAAACCCCCUCGCCGAAAGACUAAGGUUUCCUGAUCAACGCUAAUCGGAUCAGGGUAAGUCGGGGACCUAAGGGCUCAGCCUAACGGCGAGGCCGAUGGCAGAACGGUAAAGAUUCCGUUACUACUUUCAAUGGUGAUGUGGAGACGCAGUAGUGACACCGCCGCCGGCUGACGGAAUAGCCGGUUAAAGAGUGUGGACGUCGAUUCCCGCAGGCAAAUCCACGGGAAGAGUCGAACUUGACAGUAUGGAACGUCCUUCGGGACAAUCCAACAGUGCGGGUAAUCAUGCUGCCGAGAAAAUCCGCUAAACUUAACGUUGAAGGUACCCGUACCGCAAACGGACACACGUAGUCGGGUUGAAUAUACUAAGGCGCUUGGGUGAAUCACGGUUAAGGAACUAGGCAAACUGACCCUGUAACUUCGGGAUAAAGGGUCCCUCCUCGCAAGAGAGGGCGCAGAGAAUAGGUCCAGGCAACUGUUUAACAAAAACACAGGGCUGUGCUAAUAUGAAAGUAGAUGUAUACAGCCUGACACCUGCCCGUCGACGCGGCCG
This 585-nucleotide small RNA is filed under the name uncultured Bacteroides sp. Its description in RNAcentral is "bacterial LSU rRNA". It matches the Rfam family "Bacterial large subunit ribosomal RNA", at positions 1294 to 1879 of the family's 2925-position model. Lineage: Bacteria; Pseudomonadati; Bacteroidota; Bacteroidia; Bacteroidales; Bacteroidaceae. The record is from RNAcentral.